AUUGAACGCUGGCGGCAUGCCUAACACAUGCAAGUCGAACGAAGGCUUCGGCCUUAGUGGCGCACGGGUGCGUAACGCGUGGGAAUCUGCCCUUGGGUUCGGAAUAACAGUUAGAAAUGACUGCUAAUACCGGAUGAUGUCGUAAGACCAAAGAUUUAUCGCCCAAGGAUGAGCCCGCGUAGGAUUAGCUAGUUGGAGGGGUAAAGGCCCACCAAGGCGACGAUCCUUAGCUGGUCUGAGAGGAUGAUCAGCCACACUGGGACUGAGACACGGCCCAGACUCCUACGGGAGGCAGCAGUGGGGAAUAUUGGACAAUGGGCGAAAGCCUGAUCCAGCAAUGCCGCGUGAGUGAUGAAGGCCUUAGGGUUGUAAAGCUCUUUUACCCGGGAUGAUAAUGACAGUACCGGGAGAAUAAGCUCUGGCUAACUUCGUGCCAGCCGCCGCCGUAA
RNAcentral lists this ribosomal RNA (449 nucleotides) under uncultured bacterium. RNAcentral's name for it is "partial 16S ribosomal RNA". It matches the Rfam family "Bacterial small subunit ribosomal RNA", at positions 30 to 523 of the family's 1533-position model. The record is from RNAcentral.